RNAcentral lists this ribosomal RNA (388 nucleotides) under uncultured bacterium. RNAcentral's name for it is "bacterial SSU rRNA". It matches the Rfam family "Bacterial small subunit ribosomal RNA", at positions 29 to 419 of the family's 1533-position model. The record is from RNAcentral.
AGCGAACGCUAGCGGCGGGCUUAACACAUGCAAGUCGAACGGUAACAGGCCUUCGGGCGCUGACGAGUGGCGGACGGGUGAGUAACGCGUAGGAAUCUGCCUCAUAGUGGGGGACAACGUGGGGGAAACUCACGCUAAUACCGCAUACGCCCUACGGGGGAAAGCGGGGGAUCUUCGGACCUCGCGCUAUGAGAUGAGCCUGCGUUAGAUUAGCUAGUUGGUAGGGUAAAGGCCUACCAAGGCGACGAUCUAUAGCUGGUCUGAGAGGACGAUCAGCCACACUGGGACUGAGACACGGCCCAGACUCCUACGGGAGGCAGCAGUGGGGAAUAUUGGACAAUGGGCGCAAGCCUGAUCCAGCAAUACCGCGUGUGUGAAGAAGGCCUUA